RNAcentral lists this transfer RNA (67 nucleotides) under Pselaphinae sp. 3 EF-2015. RNAcentral describes it as "tRNA-Pro". The record is from RNAcentral. Lineage: Eukaryota; Metazoa; Arthropoda; Insecta; Coleoptera; Staphylinidae.
CAAAGAGUAGUUUUAAAAAAAAUAUUAAUUUUGGAGAUUAAUGAUAAAAAGUAUCUUUUUUCUUUGA